Non-coding RNA from Delphinapterus leucas (beluga whale), 3216 nucleotides. The record is from RefSeq and is a predicted model, not a curated record. Lineage: Eukaryota; Metazoa; Chordata; Mammalia; Artiodactyla; Monodontidae.
UGCAGUCCUGGCUCUUUCACUAUUCAUAGACCCCUCGAAGAAAGAGAAAAAAAUGAAUAUUUACUUAUUUUUGAAGUCUAAGAAAUCCUAGCUGUAGUGCUAAUCUAAUUGAAUUCUUCCAGAUACAUAAAGUGAGUGACAUUCUUAUUGAACGUGUGAAGAAACAGGCUGAAGAUUUGGAGUGACAAGUUCAAAUUUUUACAGCUAGAAAGGAUUUGAAUCUUGGACUUCAAAUAAUAGUAUUUAACGUUUCAUGAACAUUAGCAUUAGGUCUGGUUAGCACUUUAUAUACCCUACAAUCUUGGGAAGCAAAAGCACUAUUUUACUUUCGUCGAAUCUGAGGUUUAAAAAAGUGAAGUGACUUGCCUCAAGUCACACAUAGAAGUGAGGGCUGGUAUUUCAAGCCAGAUCUGCCCGGUUCCAGAAUUCACGCUUGGUGGCAAGAGAUUAGUUGAAAAUCCAGGCUCUUCUGAAUCCAAAGCCCAUCUGUGCUCUGUGUAUUCAAUCAGGCCUGAUUUUAAACAUGGGUCAAGAAUUAGCAAUAAUGUGUUCUUUGGUAAGUCAAUUACCUUCUUAACAUUAGUUUCUUCAUUUGUAAGAGGGGGAUGAUAGUAAGUAGCUGUCAGUUGGGAGGUUUCAAUAUGGUUAUACACACAGCAGUCCUCCAGCAAAUGAUGGCAUCUAUCUCUGCCACCUUUUGACAACCAUUACUAUUUCUUCCACCCCUACUCCCUACGUUCUCUCAGCUGACUUCAUUCGUUCAUUUCUGGCAUUGGGAUUGAGGGCUCGGGAUCUUUCUGUUUUGAGAUUGACAAAGUCAAUCCAGGAUGAGGGUAAAGAGAGAAGAUGCACAGCAGUCAAAGUGUUCCUGAAGUGUCUAGACUCCACUCAUGAAACUUUGUGUGAUUGAAUUAAAUUAGUCCCUGGGAGGUAAUUCACCUGACUGCCUGCCCAUGAUGACAGGUGGCAGACUCAAUGGUGAUUCUGAGAUUAAGAAUUGCAUCGGAGGAUAGGGGUGGGUCAGCUGACAGCCAGACAACAGGCGGCAUAACCUAGUGGUGGGGGGGGGGGUCCUAGUGGUCAGAACAUUCCGUAGACUGUGUUUGUAAAGUAGUUUGGAAGAGACGUGGGAGGUGAAGAAUGGGGAUGCCUUCUAAAGGGUGAUGGUUAGUUGUGGCUGGAGGUUGGUAAGGGAAGAAAAGAAUAAGCAAGGAAUGUGGUUAGAACCUGGUGAAAUAGGGCUGGGUUUGUCUCUGCAUAAUCAAUUUCACCUUAUGUUUCCCACCUCACUCCUCUUCCCCCACAGGGUCUGGCUCAUAGAAACAGACUUAUAGAAAUGAAUUUCUUUUCACUGGAAGAUUAUAGGUCUUCACGUGAGAGAUGAGUGAUCAAGAAGGGACUUAUUCCAUCCUGAGAUUUCUUCGGUCACCUUCGGAGUCACAAAAUAGAUCAAGGCCUGGUAGUGCCUAAAACCCUGGCAAGACUGACGGAAAAGGAGGAUAGUGGAAGAAAUAUCUCUUCAUUCAUCCGCCGACAACUUUGUAAGCUCUCCUUCACCUUUGGGAUAAAGAAAUCAUCCAAAAGUCUCCACAAUGUCAACUGCUUCAGACUGUGAUCAACCUCCAGAAAACACAGAGCAGACAGAGACAAUCCCUAUUGUGGAUGUGGAACGGCCUCUUGCCCUUCCUCCUCCUCCACCUGAGGAUGAAUGGCGCCCGAUUCCUGAGCACACCAAUGUGGAUGCCUCUCGUUUUUCCUUCUCUCUAUGUGGAAUAACCCCUGUGAUCCUGGGAGUGUUCAGCCUGCUGCUUUUGAUGUUGUGUGGAUUCUUUGGUUUUCAGUACUUUCAAAGUGUUCAGGAAUCAGAGAGCAAGAUGAAGAGCCUUAUCCAACAGACUGAGUCUUUGCAAAACAAAGAGGAAAACUUUCUUCAGGUCCUAAAAGCUCUUGAGCAAAAUAAAGAAAUCUUACAGCAGCUUCAAAAACAGAAUGAGUAUAUCACUGAGGCUCUACAAGAACUAAAUGUGGAACAAGGAGACAGGUGUGGACCUUCUCUGAGUCACUGGGUACAAUACAGAGACCACUGCUACCACCAAACCGUGCAAAUUGUUUCUUGGUUAGAGUGUUCGGAUCUUUGCAUCUCUUUGAAUGCUACAUUUUUAAAGACAGAAAGGAGUAGAUUGAUGUACAUCAUGAAGUUACUUGCAGCAAAUCACACUUGGCUUGGCCUGUCUUAUAAUGAAGAGGACAAUCAAUGGAAGUGGGAGGAUGGCUCCCUUCCUUCUCCUGGCCUAUAUUAAAGAGAGACACAGAAAGAUAUCAAGAUUGAGCUGAAACAAUCUAAGUCUUUCCAAAAAAUAAUGUUUAAGAGUGAGCAAAACAAGGAUAUUGUAAACAAGCAAGAGGUAACCUACACAGAACCAAAAUUUUCCAAAUCUCAACAGAAGCAAAAAAUACCCAAGACAAACCAGAGAAGUGUCAAAUCAAGUGAACCGCAAGUAAACUACAUGGAACUGAAGUUUCCAAGGCCCUCUCACCUUCAGCACAGAAAACGGUUGUUUAGGAAAAAAAGAAAAGUGCUACACCACCGAUCUACAGCAUGGUGACUGGGAGUCUAGGGAUCUUGUGUGUGGUCUGGAUGACAACAGUGGGUGCCUUGCUUGCAAACUUAUUUUCUAGCAGAGAAGAACGAAACUGAAAAAGAUCACCUGUUCCCACACUAUCUUCUAAAAAUGGUGAAUGUUCCUGUGAUCUUUGUUCAACCCACUGGAUUGGAUUUGGAAAUAGCUCUUAUCAUCUUUCCAAUAAAUCCAAAACCUGGGCGGAGAGCCAUGCUGCCUGUGCAGAGCUGAAUUCCCACCUUCUAAAGAUUGGUAUCAAGGAAGAGCUGAUUCUUGCAAAUGGAGAACCAUGGUUGUCCAUAUAUUGAAGGAGAUUAUGUUUAUGCUUGUAACUGUUCAUCUGGGAAAACUUACGUCUGUGUGUUUAAUAUAUAGCAGCUGUUUUCCUAAUACAUGUUGUGAUUGAAUCCUAAUUAAUUAAAGAAGUACAAAAUAUUCUGUUGCCUUUAUAAAAUUUUAUAAAUUAUUGUUAAAGUUUUUUUUUUUUUUUACUGCACUCACAAUACUUUAGUUAAAUUUUCAACUUUUAAAUGUAUUCGAAGUGAAGAAAAUUCACCACCCACAAAUUCUUUGGGAGUGAGUGUUCUCCCUAUGA